UUUGAUCCUGGCUCAGAGCGAACGCUGGCGGCAGGCUUAACACAUGCAAGUCGAGCGGGCGUAGCAAUACGUCAGCGGCAGACGGGUGAGUAACGCGUGGGAACAUACCUUUUGGUUCGGAACAACACAGGGAAACUUGUGCUAAUACCGGAUAAGCCCUUACGGGGAAAGAUUUAUCGCCGAAAGAUUGGCCCGCGUCUGAUUAGCUAGUUGGUGAGGUAAUGGCUCACCAAGGCGACGAUCAGUAGCUGGUCUGAGAGGAUGAUCAGCCACAUUGGGACUGAGACACGGCCCAAACUCCUACGGGAGGCAGCAGUGGGGAAUAUUGGACAAUGGGCGCAAGCCUGAUCCAGCCAUGCCGCGUGAGUGAUGAAGGCCCUAGGGUUGUAAAGCUCUUUUGUGCGGGAAGAUAAUGACGGUACCGCAAGAAUAAGCCCC
Molecule: ribosomal RNA, 438 nt
Filed under: denitrifying bacterium W18a
Lineage: Bacteria; Pseudomonadati; Pseudomonadota; Alphaproteobacteria
Description: bacterial SSU rRNA
Rfam family: Bacterial small subunit ribosomal RNA
Source: RNAcentral